Molecule: ribosomal RNA, 433 nt
Filed under: uncultured bacterium
Lineage: Bacteria
Description: bacterial SSU rRNA
Rfam family: Bacterial small subunit ribosomal RNA
Source: RNAcentral
AACGCGAAGAACCUUACCUACUCUUGACAUCCUGCGAACUUGGUAGAGAUACCUUGGUGCCUUCGGGAACGCAGAGACAGGUGCUGCAUGGCUGUCGUCAGCUCGUGUUGUGAAAUGUUGGGUUAAGUCCCGUAACGAGCGCAACCCUUGUCCUUAGUUGCCAUCAUUUAGUUGGGGACUCUAAGGAGACUGCCGGUGACAAACCGGAGGAAGGCGGGGACGACGUCAAGUCAUCAUGGCCCUUACGAGUAGGGCUACACACGUGCUACAAUGGCAAGUACAGAGGGCCGCGAAGCCGCGAGGUGGAGCUAAUCUCACAGAGCUUGUCGUAGUCCGGAUUGGAGUCUGCAACUCGACUCCAUGAAGUCGGAAUCGCUAGUAAUCGCAAAUCAGAAUGUUGCGGUGAAUACGUUCCCGGGUCUUGUACACACCG